RNAcentral lists this ribosomal RNA (486 nucleotides) under uncultured bacterium. RNAcentral's name for it is "partial 16S ribosomal RNA". It matches the Rfam family "Bacterial small subunit ribosomal RNA", at positions 28 to 523 of the family's 1533-position model. The record is from RNAcentral.
GACGAACGCUGGCGGCGUGCUUAACACAUGCAAGUCGAACGGUGACCCUCGGAGCUUGCUUCGGGGUGAGCAGUGGCGAACGGGUGAGUAACACGUGAGUAACCUGCCCCUGACUCUGGAAUAAGCGCUGGAAACGGCGUCUAAUACCGGAUACGACACGCCGCCGCAUGGGGAGCGUGUGGAAAGUUUUUCGGUCUGGGAUGGACUCGCGGCCUAUCAGCUUGUUGGUGAGGUCAUGGCUCACCAAGGGGAUGACGGGUAGCCGGCCUGCGGGGGGGACCGGCCACACUGGGACUGAGACACGGCCCAGACUCCUACGGGAGGCAGCAGUGGGGAAUAUUGCACAAUGGGCGAAAGCCUGAUGAAGCGACGCCGCGUGAGGGAUGACGGCCUUCGGGUUGUAAACCUCUUUCAGCAGGGAAGAAGCGAAAGUGACGGUACCUGCAGAAGAAGCACCGGCUAACUACGUGCCAGCCGCCGCCGUAA